Molecule: long non-coding RNA, 553 nt
Filed under: Bos grunniens (domestic yak)
Lineage: Eukaryota; Metazoa; Chordata; Mammalia; Artiodactyla; Bovidae
Description: lncRNA (ENSBGRG00000021689.1)
Source: RNAcentral
CUGUGUUUCCUCCACUGCAGUCCAAACAAGAAUCAACCAUGCUACCAUGAACAUCAUUAAAACGACGUUGGUUCACUCAGUGGCAACGGAGUGGCAGUCAGGGGCUCCUGUCGUGGAACAGGCACUGUUUGGAUCCUGCAGAAUCCGGGUGUUCCCUCACCAGGAAUUGAACCCAGGCCCGUGGCAGUGAAAACCCAGAAUCCUAACAACUAAGCCACCAGGGAACUCCCUGGAAAUCUUUUUAGUAAUGAAGAAAGGUAUUGUCAUCUUACUCAGUUCAGUCGCUCAGUCAUGUCCGACUGUUUGCAACCCCAUGGACUGCAGCACAGCAAGUUUUCCUGUCCAUCACCAACUCCCAGAGCUUGCUCAAACUCAUGUCCAUCGAGUCGGUGCUGCCAUCCAACCAUCUCAUCCUCUGUCAUCCCCUUCUCCUCCUGCCUUCAAUCUUCCACCAUCAAGGUCUUUUCCAGUGAGUCAGUUCUUUGCAUCAGGUAACCAAAGUAUUGGAGCUUCAGCUUCAGCCUCAGUCCUUCCAAUGAAUAUUCAGGACUGA